Non-coding RNA from Heterocephalus glaber (naked mole-rat), 6911 nucleotides. Lineage: Eukaryota; Metazoa; Chordata; Mammalia; Rodentia; Bathyergidae. The record is from RefSeq and is a predicted model, not a curated record.
CUCUAAAAACAGCUUAUCUUGCUGCUGGUUAAAUGGUUUUAUGCAUUGGCUCUUCCUAUUACAUAUACAAAUAUUUCUCACUCUGCCGUAUUUCGAACAUAAUACUACCAAAAUUAUGGUUAGAUCAAUAUUUGCUGUUUACAUUAUUAAAACUGUGUGCAUGGACUUCACAGCUGAACCAUAUUGUAUGAUUAUACUUACUGCAGAUUUUGUUUUCCUGCCAUUAUUGUCUUGUUUUCUUUUUUCUAUUUGCUUUAUUUGUAUAUACUCAGCCAUAACCCUCUCCUACCUGGAUAAAUCUUACUUUAAUACACUCAAACUCUUGAGAAGUUAAAAUCAGUUUCAUUUUCUUCAAAUAAUCAUUCAACUCAGAGCCUCUGAUCUGCUCCAGAGCCUUUGAUCUGCUCCAAACUGAAUGGUUUGAUGUCUACGUCUCCAAAGGUUUGACCUCUUGUGUGACCUUAGAACUCUGAGGAAUUUUUUUACCACUCUCUUUGUAUCCCCUUUUCCUGGCUUCCCUCAUCUCUAACCAUCCUCUUCCUGAUUUAUUGGGUCAUUUGGGGAGAUCAUGUUCUUCAGCAGAUACUUGAGAAAAAUAGAUGUGUGAAUAAGUAUUUGAAGACUUAAAUAUCUGAAAAUGCCUUUCCUCUUCAUUUGCCUAAGUUGAUAGCUUGGUGAGCAUGAAUUCUAAAUUUAAAAAUAAUUCCAUCCAGAAUUGAAAGUCUUUUCCAUUAUAUUCUGGGCUCUAGUCUUGCUGUUACAAAGUCAGUAUUAUUCCAAUUUCUGGUCUUUGAUACUUGGCUUACUUUUAGUUUUUGAAAGCUUGUGGAAUUUCUGUUUCCAGUGUCCUGAAAUUUCACCAAGACAUGCCUUACAGUAGUUGUACUUUUAUCUAUUUUACUGACUCUCAGUAGGCUCUUUUCCUGGAAGCUGUCAUUAAGUUUUGAGAAACUUUCUUGAAUUACUUCCUUUUGUCCUUUUCAUUCAUUGUUUUCUUAUAUUUCUAUUAUACUGUUUGAUGUGUGAAAGAGAAUGUUACCAUUAAUUUCUGCUUGCUGUGGAUUCUUCCUCAUUCUAUCUUCUGCCUUCCCACCCUUCCAUGUGGCAAAUGUAACGCUGAAUGUAAAUAUAAAUAUAAAUAUAAAUAUUCUUCAUUCCCUAGAUUUACCUUUAUAUCUUUAUCACAUGAAAGUCUGCCUAAAUAAUUUGCUGUUUAGUUUUAUCUGUAUGUGAACUUUAUAAAUGUCUGGCAUUAUCUUAUACAUAUCUAAGAUAAAAGUUGAACUUGUUUGGUUAAGGGCCAAAUAAUCAAUACUUUAGCCUUUGCAAGUCACAAAUUCUCUGUCCUCACAAUUCAACUCUGCCCUAUGGUAGAGAAGCAGAUAUCAACAAGCAGAUGUGGCUAGUUUCAUUACAUUACUUACAAAAACAGGUGGCAUUCAAUAUGCCAUAGUUUGCUAACUUCUGCUCCAGGGAAAAUCUGGACAUAUGCACAGGAAAUGCAGAACUUUAUCCAAGGAAUAUAGAAAACAAUGGCAAAUUGUUUAUUUUAAGAGUUACAAUUAAACAAUGUUCUGGAUCUUGAAUAAUCUAUAUUACAUUAUGUUUCUAAAAUUCAGCCAAAUUAAUUCUUAUGGGUAUAGUUCCAUGUUUUUGCUGCUACUCCAUUGAAUAUGCUACUAUGUCACAAUUUAUUUAUCCAUAGUCUUGUCAAUAUAUACUUGGGUUGUUUCUAAUUUUUGUUUUCUAAUGUAGUUUCCCAAAUAUAUAAACCAACCAACAACAUACAAAGACAUCCUCAAUGCACACCUUUCCAGUAGUUGAUAAUAUUUAACAAUCUAGUAUAUAUAAAAUGAUAUGUCAUAAUUUGCAUUUCCCUGAUUGCUAAAGAAUGUAAAUAUCUUUCCUUUAAAUAUAUUGUCAGUUUGAAUUUCUUCUUUAGUGGCACACUUAUUUGAAUGUGUGAAUGCCCAUUCACACAGGACAUCACAUAAAAACAAUAUGGACACAGAACUUUGGCACAGUCCUUUAAAAAGAAAAAGAUAAUUUAUCCCUAGGCUUGUUCUGGUCUCCUAUCUGUCACUGGUCCAAGUUUGUUCUGUGGAAAAUUAACUUUUCCAUGCUUGUUUCUAAGUUAUAUUUUUCAGCCUCUUUGUGCAGCUACUGGGAGGAAUAUCUCAAACAUGAAAAAUAUUUUGGUUUCAUUCUCUCCUUUCAUAUGUGCACCUUCAAUGUCUGUAGAAACAGUUGAGAAAGGAGAUCAGAAAGCUAGCUGGAAGUUCUUCUUGGAAGGUUAUUAAUCAUCUUUCUCAUUCUGAGACACAACACCUGGCCCCCACAAGUCAAAGGAGAAGAGGUAUAACUACUAACUGUGAUAUAUCAACUUGGCCGGAGUAAGAAACACCUAGAAGAUUAGUAAAGCACAAUUGUGGGUGUGUCUGUGGAUGACUGAUAUGUAGGUCAGCAAACUGAGGGGGGAAUAUCCAUGCCAAGGGGCAUCAAAUAAUAGGCUUGCAGCCUGGAUGGAAUAAAAAGAAAAAAAAGAAAAAACGAGAAAGAAUUGUGCCCAUUUUGAGCUGGUGCUGUCUUUGCCUGUGGACACCAGUCACCAGGUCUCCAGUUCUUCAGCCUUCCAACACAGUGUCACACCUGUGCCUUUCCAGUGAGCUUCUAGAGUUUUGACCUAGGAUCAGUGCUGCAUCCUUGAUCCCUCUUGUGCUGUGGCCUCCGUCUUCUUGGACUGAACAGCUACUGGGUUCUCCAGCUCACUGCAGUUCACAUGACCACUGGUUUGUCCUGUGGCACAGGCAGUGCCACAGACAGUCAUUGUGGACUCUCCUGCCUUUGUUCCCAUAAAUCCACCUAGUAAAUACUCUUGUGUAACUAACUAUACAUAAAUUUUCUUUUGAAUUUUCUCCCAUACAGAAUACUAAAACAGAUUUUGGUACCAGGAUUGGUUCUAGAAAAAUAUAAUUGUAAGGAUAAAUUUCUCCAAUCAUUUCAGUUGUUCCUGGAAUUGGCUCUGUAAUUUGAUGACACCUAAAGUUGUUAGUCUCUCAACUAAUGUAGAAAGUGCUGAUAGUCCAUGAUGUGAACUAUUUAAAGUAAUAUGCAACAUAGAUCCAUUUGAUUAUUUUAAUUCACAACUUGCAAGAUGUAAGAGAUUUAGUGACUUUAUACAUAACACUUUUGAAAAUUUUGGAAGCAUGAGGCAUAUGAUGCUGGAUCGUUGCUGUUAGUAUCCUUAAAAAAAUUAAAAAAGGAAAAUGAUGAUUUCACAUUUCUAGCUCCAGACAAGUAUAAGCAACAUCAAGGAUUCUAAGUGUGUUCUGGUGGAGAAUCUUCUUUCCUUUAGGCAAAGGAUUGGAAGUGCUGUAGAGCAAAGACAAGCCCUCAUAAUGCUAAAUUAUGGCUAAAUUGCAGUGAAAUUUUAACACCCACCUUCAAAUUAUAUCUGCAGUUAACAUGAAGGCACUGAUCAGAAAAGAAUGGGAUCCCAUAAACUGGCAUGGAGAUGUCUGUGAAAAACCUGAUGAGGCUGGGUACCUUGGGCUCCUAAUUUGGAUGAGAUUAUAUUGCCAGAGAAAAAGAUUUCCUGACCCUCGGUGACAGAGGUGUCCCCACCCCCAGCUUCUGUGGUGCUGGCCUCUUCUCUUCCUGAAGGAGCUAAUCCUGUGUUGCCUGUGGAAACAGUAUGAAUCCUUCUCUGAUGCAGCUGCCAAGGAAGACAAUGCCAAUGCUCCUCAGGACCCACUCUUGCCAUCAUUUGUCUCUUAUUUGUCUGAGAUUUUAUUUUGCAGGCUCAAAUCUCAGGAGGCUUCUCAAAGUACGCUACCCAGCAUGACCCAUGGGACAUGGGAAGGUAUGCUACAUUCCUGACUAACUUCUUGAGCUUUCCAGUUCUUAACAACCAAAGGUUUGGGGAACAGGAAUAGAAAUGGAUUUUAAGGGUGUGAGACAAUAGUAAAAGGAACAUCAACCUGGAUUAGGCUGAAUUUCUUGAUAUGAGCCAAUUAAACAGAGAUUCUGGAUUUAAUGCUGCAGUUUGUAGAGUUAAAAAGGAUGCCAGUGGUUUACUUAGUUAAUUGCCUAAAAUACAGAUCAAAAGAUGGUCCACUGUAAAUGACCUGGAGAUGCCUGAUAUUCCUUGGUUUACUAUUGGUGAGGGUAAUGACAGUCAUGUGACACUCCAUUCUAACCACCACAAAAGGAAACUGGGACAAGGAGUUAAAAAGUGUUUGACUUAGAUUCACAAUAUACUUAUUUUUUAAUUCCUUAAAAAGACUGUUCCAAUCUUCUCUCUAGUAGAUAAUGGCUGCUAAAUUUCUGGGUUCUUGGAAGACAUAUACACUUCAGAAUUUAAACUGCCACUUGCUCCUCCCCUUUCAUCGUGGCAUGCCUGAUCUUAUGUGUUUGAAAUACUAUAAUCCAAACACUUACCAUCUUCAUUAUCCUUUCCGAAGAAUCAGCCUUAAGUGGUUUUCCUUCUCUGUCGGGAAAGGACAGUAUGCUAUCUGUGGUAUGUGGUAUCCCUGAGAGUCCAACUGCUUCCACAACAAACUACUAAUCUUUAUAUUUGGUUUCUUCUCAAUAGUACAUUCCUAAGGUAAGUUGUCCUAAUCUUUUGGCUUUUAGGGACAUUCUAUAGGUAAGUUAAAUUGAUUUUCAAUUUUUUCUAUAGCUCAAUUUCUAGGAUUCAAUUUUCGUGGCUCUGCUAAGUCAAUGACCAUUCAUCAUAAUGAAUCUCCUUUUCAGCAUCCAAAAAGUUAUUUUUACAUUCUCUUUAACUCCCUUUUUCUUUUCUUGUUAGUGUUUUAGGACAACAGUAACAACAAUAAGAAAAUCUUACUAUUUUCUUAUGUGAUUUUUAAGAGGGACCUGAGCUUUAAUUAGUGUGUUUAAUCUGUCAUAUUUAAUCACGUUUCCCAAAAUUCACCAUAGCAGGCUUCCCAAGACAAUGAUAUUCCUGCUAGUUGUUGCAACAUUGUGACUAACGAUGGGAAUUUUCAAUAUUGUGGAAGAGACAUUUUUGUUCUCUUGGGGGCCUUUUGGUCAACAACAUAUUUUUUCCCAGAAGUUUCUCUUAUGUAUGAGUUAUUUCAUGACUCCAUAGACGAAGCAUAUCCGAGUCAAGUGUUUUACCUGUGACUUUCAAAAUGAUUCUCAAGUUUAAAUUGUACUGCCAGCUCUAAAUCUGGGCUUCUUUUAUUUUUUGAGUAUUUUUUAUUAGUACAUGACUGCAGUACAUCAUGUUUAUGCUCCGUGUGGGGACUUGGUAUACGUAUAUAACACAUCCUAAUUCCUUUUCCUUUAAUCCAUUUUCCCUCCCCUCCCUCUGUCUCUUGAUUCCAUUCCCAUUUGAUUUGCCUCUCCUGUACCCACACCAAAUAUUAUCCUCCAAACUCUCUCCACAAAACCCCACCUCUACCCUUUCCACUCCAAAGUUACCAGCUCUAGGUGAACAAAUGGAGAACAUGGAGUCUGACAACCUGGGACCUACAAACCUGGAUGAUUAUACUGUGGAGGAAAGUAAGCGCUACCCUCCUUCCAGCUGGAGAUGUGCCGUCUUUCUCUUGAUUUCACCUGCUAAGCUAGACAAACUUCACACUGAAUCUUUCCAAGUUCAGCAUGCUACAGCUCUUACUUGGACAUUUAUUCUUUCUGUUAAUUCAGGAAGUCCCCCAAUUUUUUUCUAACAUCCUAUAAUCAAUCUUCUUAAAAACUAUGGUGCUUAGAAAUCUCCAGAAGGUUUUCUUAAUAUACAGAUUCUGAAUAAUUAGGUCUUUGGUGGGAUAUGAGAUUCUGCAUUUCUAACAAGUUCCCAGGUGAUGGAUCACUGUUCAACUGCAUGCUGCUAAUCUGAGGACCACACGUUGAGUUGCAAGACUCUGGCUAAUGGCUUGAACCUAUUUCCAUUGGAUAUUUCAGCCAUGUCUCCAGUAAUGAAGGCUAAAUUUCCCUGGGAAUAUCACAGCUCUCAUGAUGCUAAAUAUAGCAAAGUGAGGAAGAGAAGAAGGAGGGAAGCAAGGAUCUGCAGGUAAAAUUGAAGCUCAUGAGGAAAGUGAAGAGAAGGAACUUAAUGCAGAAGAAGGAGGUUGCAAGCUGGGCUUUCUCACUGAGCCCUAGCUUGCUGUUGGGUCAGGGGGACUCCAACUUGCAGACACAUGGUGACUACUGGUGAUCCCAGGGGCCUCCAGAGACACACAGUGGAAUGGAGUGGUGGACUCAGAGGACUACACAGGCUGAGAAUUAAAAGUGAAAUUUGACAAACAAGAAUUACCUUUUAUCUCCAACUUUGAAGAAGUCAAGCUUUAGUUUCAUUAACGCCCCAUCAAAAUGCACAGUUACAUAGAUACUUCUGUACUUGCUUUUUAAAGUAUUUCUGAGCUCCAAAAGGGAAAGAGUUGGGGCUGUUUUGUUCUCUCUGUGUGUUCAGUUCCCAGCCUGUGCCCAGCACCCAGCAGGAGUAGGUAAGUAUUGGUGGAAAGAAUGAUCACGCCUGCUUCAAACCAAACUCAUAUAUGGAAGCCACACUGAAGCAUCUAGAGCCACAGAAAGCAGAGGAAACCACUGAAAUUCAAGAAUACUUUCCAAAUAAUGAAAGACUAAUAACAGAAUUUAUAUGACUUUAUUCAGUACUCAGACCUGUACUCCAACCAAAAGAUUGUACUCCAGGUUUGGCAAUCUUCCCUCAGACAAGUUUCCAUAAAACAUGAAGUUACAAAGAUCCAUGUGCUGGCCAAAAAGCCAGCAGUAUUUUUACAAAUCUCAGAAAACAAAUCAGCAAAAAACAUAUGUUAAAUACAUAAAUGAAAAACUAUUUUUUAAAAUUUGUAUAAUGUCUAUAUUCUCUACUUAGUGCGCAUGCAUUCAUUUUUUUUUCCCCAUUGAGUUUAUUGGUACAUUUUCGG